CCAGACUUCCUGUCCCCAAACGUUGCACUGCCUCACCCCUUCCAGAUCUGCACUUUUGAAAAGACCCACUAAAGCGUUUCCACCUUCAUUUCCUUCGGCAAUUGUGGAGAACCAGGACCUUGGCCAAGCCAGUUCACUCAGCAUCAAUUUCCUUAUCUGUCAAGCAGUUGGACAAGACCAGGGGCCAGCAACCUUUUACUGGAAAGGGCCAGAUUCUUUUCAGAUGGACCACAUCUUCUCAUAUCAUCAUGCAAGCUCACGCUCCUUCCUGAACCCUUUCUGAGCCUUCUGCACUCACACCUGGGAAGAAAGGGGAUUGGACGGUCCAGCAAAAACAGCCACAAAUGAUGCACGCAAUAUGUGUAAGUGCUGUGCCAGAGGUAUAGGUGAUGGAGGACAAAACAAAGGAGGUUCCUGUGCUCUUACUAUUUACAGUCUAGCAAGGACGAAGAUAGUCAAUGAAGAAUUAUCCAGGCACAUACAGCCUUCUGAUGUGCAGGGUGACUCCAGGCACCUCUCUAUGGCUGUGAUUUCUGCACCUGCCUUUUGCCUUUAUCUGGUCUUGCCAAGAGACCGCAUAGACUACUCUAGACUCUCCUGGGAUUCACGAAGACAUCAGCCUACCUGACCAGCAUCCCUGGCCCCUGACAGUGGAUACUGAUAGUUCUCGUUUGCCUGAAGCAUUGGCUGAGCUCAGUGAGCUAAGAAAAGUAUUGAGCCAGAGGAACACAAAGUUCUUGCUCCAGUUGCCCCAGCAGGUCUCUGAGCAAGCCAUUCAAUGACCUGUUGUACCUCACUGUGAAAGAAGAGUCGCAGGACAACCUUUAAACCAGCCUCCCUGGGAGGUGGAGGGGAAUCCUCAUUAAGGUAAUUUAGAAGUAUUUAGCGAAGAUUAAGUUCGGGGUCAGUGCUCAGUGUGGUUCCUAAUAAAACCCUUGGCGCUUUGAGGAAGAGCAAUGCCGAGGGAGAGAGCAGGCACAAGAGAGGACCAGGAAGGGGCAGGGCCUGCCAUGGGAGCUGGCCAUGUGUGCCCAGCCUUUUCUUCCGUUUCAGAGAUUUCAUGGUAGAGUUCCUGCAAUGGGAACAGGCUGAAAAAUCUGAUCAUGCUCUAGUGGUCACCGAGUUCUCAUCUUGGGCUUUAAUGUGGGACUGUAAUUGGUGUCUCUGGCCAGAAGGUAGGUGUUCCUUUUUUUUUAGACAAAGUCUCCAUCUGUUGCCCAGGCUGGAGUAAAAUGGUGUCAUCUUGGCUCACUGCAACCUCCGCCUUGUGGGUUCAAGCAAUUCUCUGCCUCAGCCUCCUGAGUAGCUGGGAUUACAGGCAUGGGCCACCACGCCUGGCUAAUUUUUGUAUUUUUAUUAGAGACGGGGUUUCACCAUCUUGGCCAGGCUCAUCCUGAAGUGACCACUUGAUCCACCCGCCUCAGCCUCCCAAGGUGCUGGGAGUGCCAGCAUGUGCCACCAUACCCAGCCUUGUUUGAUUUUAACUACUUCCUCUGGUGGCCUUCUUUGGCCCCAAGUCUUGAAAACGGACUUUCACUGUGUUGCCCAGACUGGAGUGCAGUGGCUAUUGACAGUGUCUCACUCAUCACCAGGUGCCAGGCUAGAGUGCAGUGGCGUGACCUCGGCUCACUGCAACCUUCGCCUCCCGGAUUCAAGCAAUUCUCCUGCCUCAGCCUCCCGAGUACCUGGACCACUGACUCUUAAUCUCUACUGCAAAUUCCAGGGAUAGAUAAUCUAAUGGCCUCAUUUGCAACUAGUAUAUAUAUAUACACACAUUCUCAAGGACAUGACUCCUGAAACUCUCCCCUCCCUCUCUUGCAUCUCAAUUUCCUAAAUCAUUCAUGUCAUUUUGUUUGUCAGCAAACAUGUUCUAGUAUCUUCCAACUUAAAGCAAGUAACGAACUACCCUUGGCCCCAUGCCUCUUUCCAUUUAACACCCAAUCUCUCUGCUCCUUUUUGUUGGCCUCAAACAUUUCAAGAGAAUUGUCUGUAUUGCUGUCUUCAUUUCCUCAUCCUUCCUUCUCUUCUCAGCCUUUCUAGUUGGAUUUGCAUUCUCCCAGUUCCACUAAAAUUUCUCUGGUUAAGAUCACAAUGACCUCCAUCUGCCACAUCUAUAUCCUCCUCUAACCCAGCCUUUCAGAAAUAUCCCAUAUGGUUGGCUAUUCCUUUCUUGAAGCAUUCUUUUCUCUUGGACUUGAGGAUACCCUGUAUACCAGAUGCUCUGGUGUGCUACCCAGAUCCCUGCUGCAGGACUAAGGAACUCAUUGCUCUGGCUGCCAGUAAUGUUGGUAGCUGACAGCUCAGGGCUAAGUCUAUCUCCAGAAAUUGCCCUCAGAUGGAGGAAGGUGACUUGACUAAACUUAUGCCCCCAUUGCAAGGAUAGCCUGCAUCCAAGGACUGGUUGGUACCGAGGUACGAGGUCCAGCUUCCCCAUCUCAGUUUGGGACCAUUGUAAAGGAUCAUGCCAGUUCCAGAGCUGCCUGUUGGGCAGGCUGAGGCUCCACUAUAAAGGGAUCACAUUUCAAGCCUCUCUCUCUGCCCAUCCUGCUCCCCUUACUUCCUUAUAGAUGCUGCUUCUGUGGCCUUCCCAAAUCUCUCUCUCAAACUUUGUUUCCAGGAACCUGCCCUAAGAUGCUGAAGUCUCCUGGGUUUCCUGCAGCCUCGUUUUUUGUUACCUGAAUGUCUCACAAGUUUAUUUAACUGAUUUUUUUUUUCUCUCUCAACAACCUUAAAAUACCUCUUACAUUUUUUUAAAUUUGACUUUAUAUUUUGGCCAACUUCGGUUCACAGAAAAAUUGAGCAGAAGGUACAGAGAUACCCCGUCUGCCCCCACCCCCACACAGGCUCAGCAUCUCCCAUUGUCAGCAUUCCCCACCAAGUGGUACAGUUGUUGCAAUCAAUGAACCUGCAUUAGCACGUCAUUAUCACCCAGAGUCCCUAGUUUACAUUAGGGCUUACUGUUGGUGUGCAAUCUAUGGGUUUGGGCAAAUGUACCAUGGCAUGUAUCCAUUAUGAAGUUACGAUAAAAAGUAUUUUUAUUGUGCUAAAAAUCAUCUGCCCUCUGCCUAUUCAUCCCUCCCUCCCCUAACCUUUAGCAACCACUGAUCUUUUUAUUCUCCCCAGUUUGGCCUUUUCCAGACUGUCAUACAAUUGAAAUUGUACAGCAUACAGCCUUCUCACAUUGUCGUCUUUCCCUUAGUAAUACACAUUGAAGUUUUCUUCAUGUCUUCUCAUGAAAAUACAUUUUUCUUUCUCCCCUUCACUCCUGCUGUUCUCCACCUUCUUUUCUGUGUAUUUACAGGUGUUAUACAGGUGCUAAACAGAGAACCGAUGAGAUAGUGGUCCCACUCCCUAAUGGUUUUUUUUAAAGAAACAACCACACUUUCAAAUGGCUGUGUUCAAGUUUUCUAAAAUCUAAGGGAGCAGGAAAUUGCAGAAUGGAUUUUAUCCACUGGGUCAUGUGAAAUCAAUGCAGCAGCAACUAACUCAUUUAUUCUUCCAUAAUUAAGUCAAUAGAAUUUGCCCAUGGGUGCAAAUCUGAAGACUUGAUAUACCAAUCAAACCAUAAUUGUAAAAUCAUUUACGUAUUGUGCUAUUAUUUUGCUGUAGGUACAUUUCAUUCUUUCUCUUGACUCAACUCUAAAAUAAAGAAGUAAAAGACUAGA
This is a long non-coding RNA of Callithrix jacchus (white-tufted-ear marmoset), 3665 nucleotides long. RefSeq lists it as uncharacterized. NCBI's taxonomy places the organism in Eukaryota, Metazoa, Chordata, Mammalia, Primates, Cebidae. The record is from RefSeq and is a predicted model, not a curated record.